GCGCGUCGGAGGUACCGGGGGCGGAAGUGCUCUCGGCGGAAGUGAUCGCUGCGUGACUCGUGGGCGGGAUGGCCGUGGGCCGGCUCUAUCUAAGGCUGCUGCGAGCACCCUGCAAGUCCGUGGCUCAGAGCCCACUCGGGGGCAUGCCCCCCUCCAGGGGUCUACGCGCGGGGCGCGGGCCCCGAAGGCUCUCCAUCGAAGGCAACAUUGCCAAAUCAGAAACAUGGAAAGGAAUGAGACGGGAAGGUCCUGCUACCUGCCUGAGGGUGUUAUUUCAAGGUGUUCUGUCCUGUACUUUGGGAACAGCAAAGGAAGCUCUGUCCUCAGAGCCCAGAGAGGAACAAAGCACUUCACCAACUGUGGGGAAGUCCACCUUUGUGAAGCUACUCGCGAAAACCUACCCAGAGUGGCACGUAGCUACAGAACCCGUAGCGACAUGGCAGAAUGUCCAGGCUGCUGGAACCCAAAAAGCCGGCACAACUCCAAAUCUCGGAAACUUGCUGGAUAUGAUGUACCAGAAGCCGGCACGAUGGUCCUACACAUUCCAGACAUUUUCUUUUAUGAGCCGCCUGAAAGUACAGUUGGAGCCCUUACCUGAGAAACUCUUAGAGGCCAACAAGGCGGUACAGAUCUUUGAGAGGUCUGUGUACAGUGACAGGUAUAUCUUUGCAAAGAAUCUUUUUGAGAACGGUUCCCUCAGUGACAUGGAAUGGCAUAUCUAUCAGGACUGGCAUUCUUUUCUCCUGCAGGAGUUUGCCAGUCGGCUCGGAUUGCAUGGCUUCAUCUACCUCCAGGCUACUCCCCAGGUUUGCUUGAAGAGACUGCGCCGGAGGGCCAGGGAGGAGGAGAAGGGAAUUGAGCUGGCCUAUCUCGAGCAGCUUCAUGGUCAACACGAAGCCUGGCUUGUCCACAAGACAACCCCCCUUGGUGUGCUGUCCGCUUAAAAUGUCUGGGGCUCUGACCUUCAGUAGAAGUCUCAAGACUAAAGCGAAAUCUCAGCCUCAUCUUUCCAUCCAACUUUAUUGAAUUCUUUUUCUAAACUGCUGUUUACAUGAAAUUUCAUUGGGAAGCCGUGUGACCUUAGAUCUCUCCUCUGAGUUAGUAAGACUUGGUAGACACCUUUGUAGAGAAUCUGGAACCAAUACCAUGAUGUUCUAGUUGUGACCUGGGCUCUCUGACUUUCUGAAGCCAGACGGAUACAGAGUCACCCACCUUCCCACCCGCACUCCCAUGUCCGUUUACCCCCAGAGCGCCCUCAGCGGUUGUCAGCGGCAGCGCCUAGUGCAGCUGUGUUUCUGUCAUCCUUAGACCCAGCCCCAUCUUCUUUUGUAUUUCAAGGACUUCUUACAGUCUGAGUGUUGGUUAUCUUGCUAA
Vicugna pacos (alpaca) is the source of this 1374-nucleotide non-coding RNA. The record is from RefSeq and is a predicted model, not a curated record. Lineage: Eukaryota; Metazoa; Chordata; Mammalia; Artiodactyla; Camelidae.